CUUAGUUGAGUUGAGUUGAGUAAUUAACUUGGCUUGCUUAUCAGAGUCAGAGGAAUAGAACACAUUUGUCUCAAGUUGUUGUCAAAAUGGGCAUGGGGGAAAUUUUUAUGUAAAAGCAUUUGUCUUUAAUUUAAUGAUUCUUACCUAAUAUUAAACUUGCAUGUUAAAACAUGUAUUGUGUGACACCAUUUUCAUUUGCAUAAUUAUAAAUGAUUUAAGGUCAGAUGGUGGAUGCCAUGUGUUUUGAGCAAGUUCAUAAACUUUGUAGUUGCCCAAUGAGGGACAAAAGCAAUUGAGCUUAAAGAAGUUCUGAUCACAUCGCUCUCUGGAAGAUACUAUGCAUGUCUCUCUUUAAUAGAUUUAUUUGCUAAAAUAAUAAAAUUGGUGUGCAACUGUCUUGUCAUGGCAUUUUAGGAUUUGAAAGAUUUGGUAGCCAAUAUUGGUUUUUGAGGUUUGUGAUUUUAACAGUGAGAUAUUUUUCUUUCCUUGCAGGAGAUUAUUAAAG
Molecule: unclassified non-coding RNA, 505 nt
Filed under: Hevea brasiliensis (rubber tree)
Lineage: Eukaryota; Viridiplantae; Streptophyta; Magnoliopsida; Malpighiales; Euphorbiaceae
Source: RNAcentral